GACGAACGCUGGCGGCGUGCUUAACACAUGCAAGUCGAACGGAAAGGCCCUGCUUUUGUGGGGUGCUCGAGUGGCGAACGGGUGAGUAACACGUGAGUAACCUGCCCUUGACUUUGGGAUAACUUCAGGAAACUGGGGCUAAUACCGGAUAGGAGCUCCUGCUGCAUGGUGGGGGUUGGAAAGUUUCGGCGGUUGGGGCUGGACUCGCGGCUUAUCAGCUUGUUGGUGGGGUAGUGGCUUACCAAGGCUUUGACGGGUAGCCGGCAUGAGAGGGUGACCGGCGACAUGAGUACUGCGAGACGGCGCAGACGGCUACGUGAGGCAGCAGGGGGGAGUAUUGCACAAUGGGCGGGAGCGUGAGACAGCAGCGCCGCGUGCGGGAUGACGGCCUGCGGGUUGUAAACCGCUUUGGCCUGAGACGAAGCGUGGGUGACGGUAAUGGGUAAAGAAGCACCGGCUAACUACGUG
This 468-nucleotide ribosomal RNA is filed under the name uncultured bacterium. RNAcentral describes it as "partial 16S ribosomal RNA". It matches the Rfam family "Bacterial small subunit ribosomal RNA", at positions 28 to 507 of the family's 1533-position model. The record is from RNAcentral.